This is a long non-coding RNA of Equus caballus (horse), 4777 nucleotides long. The record is from Ensembl. Lineage: Eukaryota; Metazoa; Chordata; Mammalia; Perissodactyla; Equidae.
AUUAAACACGUACUACACACCAAGCUGAAACAGGGGGGUGUAGGAAACAUAUAGAAAUAGAAGACAUGUUCUUUUCCAUCAAGAACCUCUCAAUAGGGUUGAGAAGAGGAAACAAAUACUCAUGAAACAAUCGUAAUCUUAACUCUAGGGUACUAACUAUAAAUGCCACAGGGCUACAGAAAACUCACUUGAGUUGUAUAGGUUGGAGCAAUCAAUGAAGUUUUCGUGGGGAAAAUACAGAGACUCAAAAUAGAUAUGUAGGCUAUAGAUGGGGCAGGAAGGGAGGGCAGGAAAGAAGCAAUUAUAAAUGAGUUGGGCCACAGGAGCCAAAGUGUAGCCACAGGAAUGGAAUGAGGCUGAGAAACACAGAGAUUCCCCUAGAUCAAGGGUCAACAAACUGGGGGCCAGAGGCCAAACUUACUCCUCCACCUGUUUUUAUAAAUAAAGUUUUAUUGGGACUCAGCUACACUCAUUUGAUCUAUGACUGCUGUCAUGCUACAAUGGCAAAGAUGAACUGUUAUGCCUGAGACCAUAUAGCCUGCAAAGCCUAGAAUAUUUACAGUCUGGCCCUUUACAGAAAAAAGGGAAAGGCUGCCAACCCUUUCCCUAAUUGGAAGAACACUCAAUAAGGCUUUUAAGUAGGAAAGAUAGUAGAAAGGAAUCAAAGCAGAGACAUAGGGAUCAGGAGAUUAAUUCAGCAAAGGCCCUUCUUUUGUUCAGCUCGACACAAUGUUUUCUGUUCUCAAAACUUCUACCUAGCACUAGAGUUUCCAGGGCUCAUCCUGAAGUUUGCAUUGGGUCUCCAAGCAUUAGGGCUUUUGGCUAGUGGAGGCAUGCUCACUGGCAGGUGGAGGCAGGGACAACGCAGGGCAGUGACUUAGGAGGCUAGUUCUUUGGGUUCCUGGGCAAGUCAUUCCUGGUUUCCAUAUCUCAGUUUCUCCUUAUAACAUAUAAAAUGGAUCACCCCAGCCCUUAUCUGCUACCCUGGGCUCUUGAGAAGGUCUCAUGGAUGACAGUAUCUCUGGUACAGUCUUUAGAGGAAGUGGACAGUGACAGCCCAGGCUACAUCUUCAUAACUGUUUCAAGGGGACAGGUGUGUUUGUGUUUAUUCAGAAUGUUAAAGUGUGCUUCCUCUGAGGCUCAGGUCAAGGAUUUAGUCUCCCAGUUAGUUUGCCCCAUUCCACUCUUCUGAAUGAAGCCCUGUAUCAGCUCUACUUUUCAUAAAAGCCUCUUGUAGAUCAGAAGAGGGACUGGACAAGAGAAAGAGCAUGCAUCAAUCAGCAAAAGUCUCCUCACUCCUCAUAACUGGGCUUAUUUGUAUUUUUAACAAAUAUUUAUUUUGUACAUGGACUGUGGAGGGAACAACAAAAAAUGGUCUUUGCCCCACAGGGCCUCUGAGCCUCAUAAAAGAAUCAACACAAAUUCACAAGGAACAGUUAAGUAGGAAGAGAAGGCAGAAUGUGAUAAAAAUGUCAACGUGAGAGAGACAGAUGGUAAGUGUGAUAGGAGGAAUUUACAGAAGGAGGAGAUGGAUGUGAGUUAGAUGUGCAUAGAGCAGUUUGGGGAAGGCCCCGGGGAAAAUACGAUUGGAUCUGGUCUUGAGGAAUGGAUCACAUUUGAACUGGGAAAGUGGAAAUGGAAUAUGUUUACGAAGGAAAGAAGAGAAUGGCCAAAGCUUGGUAUUAUAAUCAUGAAUAACAGUUCAGAAAAUAAACAACCAAUACUGUUGAGAAAUUAGGAUAGCAAAUUGUGCGUCCAAAGUACAUAAAACUGCAGCGAGACCAUCACACCUACAACAGCAUCUUCCAAUGGAUGCAGGACCAAUUCUUUGUUAGACAAAUACACAUGAGGUGAAAAACAAUGAUAGGAGACAAUGUGUGGUAAUUGUCAAUUGCAGUAUGGACAGUAACUACCACAAUCAGCUUAUUCCUGGUUGAGGUGGUCAUGGCUCUCUCAUAGAACAUCACUGAAGAAAAGUCAGGUGUACUUUGACAGGACAUUUCCUGAUUUUAGCUGAUUAUUAUUUCUUCUUGCUACUACCCAAAGGUAAAAAGGAAGACGAGUGUUCUUUUACUAUUUACAGCUUGGAAAUACAGACCUUGUUUCCCAAUUCUUGCCAGAAUUCUUCCUCAGUAGAGCUGUUUUGACUAGACCGUAGACUCUGGUCCAAAUUUAAGGAUGGGCUAGAAUGAUGCCCUGGACUUAGUUCAAAGUUUUUUUACUUGGAUUACUUCCAAAGCAGCAAAAGAGUACAAAGGAUGGAGACAAGAUCGGCACAAAAUGAAUGUAAAAGGCUCUCCAUUAUUACCUUUGAUUGUGAAUAUCAGUACCCAAAGUACAGUUGGCUUAAAAGUGCACCAAAGUGAGGUAUGCUCCAAGUUAAAAAAAAAUAGGGCUGUGAACUCACUGCCUUCUUUAGCCACAGCCAUAGCAGCAUCCCCAAAAUAUGAAUACUAAUUAUUUUGCUAAGAGAACUGUGUCUCCCUGCCCUAAUGACCAGAAUCUGGAACCUGACACUCAAGCUUAACCAACACUGGAACCAUCUCUCCUGAUGUGCACCUGCAUGUCAAGGCUUAAGAAUUUUUCACUUAUGUGUACUUUGGGCUUUCUGUGGAGAUGCCUAACCAUGGCCUAACAUAUAAGCUGCUAGAAACUUAUCCUACCCUUUAGAGUGUAAGAAGCCAUGCCAGUGUGAAAAUUCUCUACUAUAGCCCACAUAUGGAGAACAGGGUUAAGUAUAUUAUACAUAUAGAGUUAACAGCUUUGUCCUACUUGGAAGAUGUCCUCCAUAAGGAUUUCCUCAGUUCUAGGUUAUUUCUGCUCGGUAAUCUCAUUGGACACUGCUGGCUUCUACUUUUCCAGAAAGUAAUAGAUUAUAUUUUCCAAAGAUGGCUGCAAUGACAUUCUCCCAUGUCACAUGCUUUUCUACAAGAUGACCUUGCAACUCAGCCAUCAAGAGGUAACCAAGAGAAUGCAGUGGAAGUGAUGUUUUGUGACCUCUGAGGUUAGGUCAGAAAAGGCCAUGCAGUGUCCACUAGGUUCUCUUGGAAAGCCCGCUUUGGGAACACUCCCUCUUGAAGCUCAGCUGUCAUGUGAAAAACACAAGCCACUUAGAUAGACCGUGGGCAAGUGUUUUGGUCAACAGUGCCAGCUGAGCCCAGCCAUCAAGCCAGCGACCAGACAUGUGAGAAAUAAAGCCUCCAGAUUCCAGCCCCCAGAUGCUUCAGUCAGCCCAGUGCUGCAGCCUUCCCAGCUGAGGACCCAGAAAUGGUAGAGCAGAGAUGAUUGGCCCUUUCAAAUUCCCGAUUCACAGAAUCCGUUAUAAUAAAAUGUUACUGUUUUACACCACUAAGCUUGGGGCUGUUUGUUACACAGCAAGAAUGACUGGAACACAGACCCGACCACAGGUUUGAAUGGAAAUCACAAUCCCUUUGCUGCUUCCUUUUUCACAUUUGUCCAAAGUCUAAUUUACUCUCAAUUAAUCUUUUCCAACUCUUUCCUUGAAUAUCUUCAGGAAUUAUUUUAACUCUUCUAGCUCCUUUACUUCUCCUACACUGGGUUUUAUGUGUCUUUACCUGUUAAGUUUCUUGUUCUCUGAUGAAAAAACUACUAUAAAACUAGGUCUUUUAAAAACUGUUUGGUAUAAUCUAAUCUACUCUCUUCUUACUUGAAUUACUAGGAAAGCUGUAUGUGCUUCCAGGGAUGGACUGUAAGAAUAUACGUAACUUAGAAUAUGUUCAAUAGAGAGUGACAGUUUAGGGACUUUAAAUUUUGUUAUGGAGUGACUAAGAGAGUAAGGAUAGUUCAGGCUGGAGUAAAAAAUGAUAAACUAUCCAGGAGGUGAGGAUGGGGCAGUGAAUUUGAAAUUACUGUUAUUAGAUGUGACAGACUAAGAGCAUUUAGUACUAUUUUGUUUGGGCUCUGAGGGUAAAACCAGGACUAGUGGAUGGAAUGACAGACAUUUACUCUGUGUAAAAACCUUCCUAAUACCAGAAAUGUCUAAAGAGAAAAAGGACAGUUGUAAGAGGCAGUGCACUUCCCAUCACUUGAGGUUUGAAAGCAAUGACUAAAUGUCUACUUGAUAAGAAUAUUGUAGAGAAAAUUCACGCAUUGAAGAGGGGGAAGCAGUGGGUGGAGAAUGCUAGGAGAGGUGAUCUUUAUGAUCCCUCUCAAACCUAGGAUUCUAUGAAUACUUUAUUUUCUUUUAGGUUCACUGGAAAAAUGGCAACAUAUUUUUGUGGAGCUGUUGACAGCAAUAGCAAUUUCUGCAAGAGGCAUUGGCCUUUGUAAACUGGUCAAGCUUUGGCAUGAAUAAACCGGCCAAUUCAGUAAAGAGGACCCAAUGAUCAGGAUGAAGACAAGCAGAAGGUUGAUUUGUCUUUCUUCUGUAUAUUUAUGAAGCUGUUGAUCCUAUGGUAACCUUAUCCUUACCUCUGGUGGAGCAGGAGGAAGAGAAAGCAAGAAAGACAGAAACAGAGAAGCUGGUUUUACCCCUUCCCUUCCUCAGGGCGCCACAGCAUUCCCUAUAACUCUGGGGAACAGUGAGGAUGAUGCAAGAACAGAGACAGUUUCAAAAAAGAGUUAAGGUGUAAUUAAUUAAUUGGGACCCCCUGCCCACGGCUGUCAUUUUUAUUUGAGGUGACCUCAGCUCUCUUGCUGGAGUCUGAUUUUAGUCCUGGCUCCUUUUGCUUCCGUGUUACCAUUCUACUCAGUCCUCCUACAUCUUUAUUAAACCUACAUUUUCUGAAUGACCCAAAUUUGUUCUUAAAUAGUGCCG